RNAcentral lists this ribosomal RNA (774 nucleotides) under uncultured Neocallimastigales. RNAcentral's name for it is "partial large subunit ribosomal RNA". It matches the Rfam family "Eukaryotic large subunit ribosomal RNA", at positions 22 to 635 of the family's 3401-position model. The record is from RNAcentral. Lineage: Eukaryota; Fungi; Neocallimastigomycota; Neocallimastigomycetes; Neocallimastigales.
GUACACGCUGUGACUAGCAUAUCAAUAAGCGGAGGAAAAGAAACUAACAAGGAUUCCCCUAGUAACGGCGAGUGAAGCGGGAAGAGCUCAAAUUUGAAAUCUUAAAGGGUUUCCCUUUACGAAUUGUAGUUUAAAGAAGUGUUUUCUGUUGAGGUUUUGGUAAAAGUUCUUUGGAAUAGGACAUCAUAGAGGGUGAGAAUCCCGUAUUUGACCUUUACUUUCAACUUUGUGAUACACUUUCAAAGAGUCGGAUUGUUUGGGAAUGCAGUCCAAAAUGGGUGGUAAAUUUCAUCUAAAGCUAAAUAUUGGCGAGAGACCGAUAGCGAACAAGUACCGUGAGGGAAAGAUGAAAAGAACUUUGAAAAGAGAGUUAAACAGUACGUGAAAUUGUCAAAAGGGAAGCGUUUGACACCAGUGUUGUUUUUCUGAAAAUCAAUUAAAGAACUGUUUAUGCUAAGCUGUUUAGACUUUAUCAGCUAUCUGUUUAGUUUUGAGCUUUUCUUUAAUGCACUUUUCAGUUAACAAGUCAACAUCAAUUUCUUUUGCUGUAAAAAAGCUUGGGGAGGGUGGCUUGAGAUUCGUCUUAAGUGUUUAUAGCCUCUUGCCUAUGCAGUCGGAGAGAUUGAGGUCUGCAGCGUAGAUCCUUCGGGGCUAAAUGCAUUUGUGCUAAGUUAUAGCAUUUUAUAGACAACUUGUUGACUAUGAUUUGUCUUGUAGCUUACUCGCUUAUGUUAUUUUACCUACGCUUAGGAUGUUGAAGAUGUAGCACAUCAU